Amphiprion ocellaris (clown anemonefish) is the source of this 3290-nucleotide long non-coding RNA. RefSeq lists it as uncharacterized. The record is from RefSeq and is a predicted model, not a curated record. Lineage: Eukaryota; Metazoa; Chordata; Actinopteri; Pomacentridae. The transcript has 3 exons.
UGAACUGUUUUGUUCAAGUAUCACAUCAUUCCUUUUAGUCGAUGCCAGAUACAAGAGCUGACCUCAAACCUGCAGCUCAUGGAUGAGACGUAUUUCUUUCUUCUCUCCCUGUAGACGUAUCAGCACGAUCAGCCUACAUUUGCUGCCUGACAGGUGAGAGCAGGUGGGAGAGCCGUGGGUGUCGUUCACUGGAGAGGUGAAAUGAAAAGCCCGGACCGAUGUCGUUCUCCGUCCUCCCUCUGUUCCGAUUUCUGCUCCUGCGUUGGUGUGAGUCCGCUCUCGGCUCCAAGGGCAAACAAAAAAGGGAAACGGCAGCAGGUUGUCAAGGCAACACGGGAGUCACGCACACACACAAAGACACACAGGUGAAGUGUGCAGUUUGCGGUGUGUACUCAUGCUCAGACAUGUGUGGUGAAUAACGUCACCGUACUUCUGUUUGCAGCGUGAGCGAGCGUUUGUAGGCUGGAGCUGAGGAACCUUUCACGACUUCAGCUAAUGAGUGGGCAUCCGAAGCUUUAUUUAUACAGUGCGGCCUCUUUAGUCUCACGGCUCAUGUCCUAUUUUAACACAUGAUGUAUCGGUCCCAGCAUGGCCAACGUCACACCCUCAAAUAGAAUUUAUGUUGAUUUCAUUUUGAUGUAUCUUUGUGUGUUAUUAGUUCACAGAGACUAUGCUGCAGAACAGCUGCAUCUAUAAUUCUGCAAACUUUUCUUUUGAACACUGCUCUCUAAUAGAAUAACAAGACAUUCAUCAUUAGGUCCCUCCUCCUUAUAACCGCUCACGAAUGUGUCUUUGAUAAUCUGUCAUCCUUCUUUUUCUUUUAGGCUCUCUUUCCCAUGUGUCAUUCAUGCGUCGCCAUCCCCGAGAGCCCUGAGAUAGUUUUAAUGGCUGGGCGUGCCGGCGCUUCACAUGCAAAUGUGGGAAAAGCAACGACCAGGCAAAAUCAAGGCAAAAAUUCAAAACAAAUGCCUAAUUAGUAGCUGGGGAUUCAAAUGCAGCCAACAGCACCACAGUCGUUAUAGCAAACAAUUCUGAGAGGGGGAGUCAAGAGAGGGAGUGAUAUAAAUGUCAGGUUUUAAAGAUGUGUUAAUGUGCACUUUCGGGUACAGAGAAAGCAUUCAUGACUGGCUUAGGGGGGUUUGUGUGCAUUAAAGCCAGCGCUCACAUCUGUGUUAGUGUGUGUAGGCCUAUGCAGUGUCAGCUCUUUCGUAUGUGUGCGUAGCUGUAUGUGUUAAUUAACUACGAAAUGCAGAAAGCAUUACCAAAGGGGAAAUGGAUCUGGGACAGCUCAAAUGCAAACACCUUGCUUAGCCAUGCAAAAGAUCAGACUGACACCGUCAAGUUCAGCUUUCACUGGUAGAAUUAAUGAUCAAAGGAUUAUAAUCUGAUCUUGGAUCACAGCCUAGGAUGAAUUAAAGAUUAAUUUGCCAGAUGUUAACUGCGAGGAAUGGAUUAGGCAGGUAUAGAAAGGUAAAUAUACAGAGACAGAAGGAUGUACUUAAACUCAACCCUGAAUCUACUUGCUUCUAAGCAAAGCAAUGUGUAUCCAGCCGUCUCCAUUUUACAUGUCUGUAUUAGGGAGGGAAAUGCUGCGCCUCUAUGCUGGCAGCCCCACCAAAGCCAGGAACAGACAAAACAAUGUGAGUAACAAAAUUAAAAUGAGAAACUUUGUAUAUAGGCAGAGGGCAUAUCCCUGCACAUCCUCCAAGAUCUCAAUCCUAAUAAACUCUCCCCUGAUCCCUGCCAAGUCUAAUUUGUUCACUCUGCUUGUGUUUCUGUGAAGAGAGAUCUUGAUUAAGACACACACCCCUCCAAUGAACCAGACCAAAUCCUUAUCUCACAACAAGGAAGUGAGGAAGAAACUAUCAACACUGACACAAAGUUUGGGCCACUUGCAACGUGAGUCAGCCAUGUUUUGGUUUAGGCAAUUUUCCACUGACUGUCGGGUCUAAAGUUUGGCUCAUUCUUCUAUCCAAUCUUGAUCAGAUGCUUUUUUAAAAAUAUAUAUAUAUUUUUUUGCACAUUGAGCAUUAAAAAUAGAUACAAAUGAGGUGGUGAAAGAAGGUUUGGGUCAGUAUUGAUGAUGUGCACAAGGAUCAAAUAAAAAUGUCAAGAGCACUAUUUCCUGAUCUGACUCAAGAUGCAUUCAUGAACACCAAGGAAAAAUACAAAAUUGACAUUACAUACAGUACAUACUUUAUACUUUAUUUCGCCAAAUGAAACAGUCAAUAGAAAAAAAACAGGGUUGCAAAAGAUUAAUAUACAUAAAGAAAAAGUAUCAACAAAAAUGGUAAUUUUGUGCCCUUUAAAUAAACUGAGAUCAACAAAACAAUAUAACAACAGAAGUCUGAACUGAACAAAACCUGACCUCCUGAAUGACACAAAACAUUUUUAACCAUAAAUUGUGUCGGUGAUUGUUUGAAAUGAAAAGGGAACAUUUUUAACAUUGCACGGUGCCAACUGCUGAUCCAUCACACACUCCCCCUCCUCUGGUGACUCGCUGGGACAGAGGGACAGAUAGUCAGCUGUAGCAUUCUGUUUCCCAGGGAUAUGAUGCACCUCAGACCUGUACGGUUGCAUAACUGGGUACCAACGAGUUAUUCUGCUGUUAGUGUCUUUCAUUCUCUCAUGCCACUUCAAUGCCCUGUGGUCCACCUCUAGGGGCAAAUUCCCUCCCCAAAAAAUAAUACUGAAGAGAGUCCAAAGCCCAUUUGAUUGCAAGGCACUCCUUCUCCACUGUUGAAUAACGCACUUCCCUCGGGUAGAGUUUCCUACUCACAAAAGCCACAGGAUGACGAUCAUCCUCCAGACCUUGGAGGAGAACAGCCCCCAGCCUAUGGUCUGAGGCAUCUGUUUGCAGUAUGUUUGCAGGCUGUUGGAAGUCAGGACAGUACAACACAGGAUGCCUGCUCAGUGCCUGUUGGAUGUCCUUAAAAGCUCUUUCUGCCUCUUAGGUCCAACACAGCUGACUGAGCCUUUCGGGCCUGGUCAUUGGGCCGAGGAGGCGCUCAGGAAUCCGAGUUCAUACGUCUAACAGUGGAAUCCUUCUUCAGAACAAUGUCAUGCUGUGUCAGUGAUGUACGGCCAGGGUUUUCCUGAAAUACGGCUGGCAUACAGAGAGACCUCACCUGUGACUGCUGAGCUUCUGAGAGCUGGUCCAUGUUGGGAACUGAAGGCAUAGGAUGGUUGGAGGCCCCCUUACCUCAUGACCAAAGAGCAACUCAAAAGGUGAAAAUCCAGUAGAGGCUUGCAGCACUUCUCUGUAAGCAAACAACAGAUAAGGAAGCCGC